This 253-nucleotide ribosomal RNA is filed under the name uncultured bacterium. Its description in RNAcentral is "partial 16S ribosomal RNA". It matches the Rfam family "Bacterial small subunit ribosomal RNA", at positions 524 to 776 of the family's 1533-position model. The record is from RNAcentral.
UACAGAGGGGGCAAGCGUUGUUCGGAAUUACUGGGCGUAAAGGGCGCGUAGGCGGCCUUCUAAGUCGAACGUGAAAUCCCUGGGCUCAACCCAGGAACUGCGUCCGAUACUGGAAGGCUUGAAUCCGGGAGAGGGAUGCGGAAUUCCAGGUGUAGCGGUGAAAUGCGUAGAUAUCUGGAGGAACACCGGUGGCGAAGGCGGCAGCCUGGACCGGCAUUGACGCUGAGGCGCGAAAGCCAGGGGAGCAAACGGG